AACAUUUCAGGGACGUGACCAAGCCGACAGGUUUCUCAUGAGGGGUGCAAGUUGAUUUUUUACUCAUGUCCUGCACUCACUUCCCUGGCUGCAGGCACCCAUUUGAGGCAUCCUGACUCCCAUUAAACUCCUGAAGAACCAGAAACGACAAUAUGCUUUCUUACUAUGGUCAUAAAACUAAAGGUUUGGGAUGGUGGUGUAUGUUUUCUUCAGGAGAUGUAAGAUCCAGAUCAGCACACACACAAGACAUUUUUUCAGACAUACAAAUCUCCUUCAUGAAAAAAUCAUUCUUAAAAUGAGAAAAAUACAUUCUUAAAGCCCACAACUGUGCAAAUACAAUUUGUAGAUGAGUUUUGUCUUCAAUAGUACCUAAAUUCCCUUUACUUAUUUUCCAAUUGAAUUGUCCAUCAUACUGAAAAGAUUGAUGUCUCCAGCUCCACGGAUACACCUGUGGUAUGAACAAGCAAAACAACAGCCAGCUUGAUUGAUGUACUAAAUCAAUUCAAAACAGUUUAUAGAGCCUGAGAACAGUGAGUGUUAUGAUUAGCAGUUAAAACAAGGAAGAUCAAAGAAUCAUAGAAACAUAGAAUUGCUUAGUUUGGAAAGGACUUUAAAGAUCAUUUAACUCCAACCUCCCUGCCAUAGGCAGGGAUGCCACCUACCGGAUCAGGUUGACCAAGUCCCCGUCCAUCCUGGCCUUGAGCACCUCCAGGGGUUGGGCAUCACCACAGCUUCUAUGGGAAACCUAUUCCAGUGCCUCACUACCCUUACAGUGAAGAAUUUCCUUCUAAUGUCUAGUGUAAACCUUUUCUCUUUAAGAUCAUUCCCCAUUGUCUAUCUUUAUCUACCUGAGUAAAGAGUCCUUCUCCAUCUUUUUCAUAAGACCCCUUUCAGUAUUGAAAGGUCGCAGUGAGGUCUCCCCAGAGCCUUCUCUUCUCCAGGCUGCACAUCCCCAGCUCUCUCAACCUUUCUUCACAGGAGAGGUUCUAGAGCCCUCUGAUCUCUGAUCAUCUUUGUAGCUAUUGUAGGUAUCAGCUAUGCUAU
This 1044-nucleotide long non-coding RNA is filed under the name Anas platyrhynchos platyrhynchos (common mallard). RNAcentral describes it as "lncRNA (ENSAPLG00000022103.1)". Lineage: Eukaryota; Metazoa; Chordata; Aves; Anseriformes; Anatidae. The record is from RNAcentral.